Molecule: ribosomal RNA, 370 nt
Filed under: uncultured bacterium
Lineage: Bacteria
Description: bacterial SSU rRNA
Rfam family: Bacterial small subunit ribosomal RNA
Source: RNAcentral
AACGCGGGCGGCAGGCCUAACACAUGCAAGUCGAGCGGUAGAGAGAAGCUUGCUUCUCUUGAGAGCGGCGGACGGGUGAGUAAUACCUAGGAAUCUGCCUGAUAGUGGGGGAUAACGUUCGGAAACGGACGCUAAUACCGCCUACGUCCUACGGGAGAAAGCAGGGGACCUUCGGGCCUUGCGCUAUCAGAUGAGCCUAGGUCGGAUUAGCUAGUUGGUGAGGUAAUGGCUCACCAAGGCUACGAUCCGUAACUGGUCUGAGAGGAUGAUCAGUCACACUGGAACUGAGACACGGUCCAGACUCCUACGGGAGGCAGCAGUGGGGAAUAUUGGACAAUGGGCGAAAGCCUGAUCCAGCCAUGCCGCGUGU